UAUAAAAGGAGUAGCACCGAACCAAACAAUUCAGUUCGAAAAAAACAGUUGAAGCAAGUCAAGUAAUCAAGUAGAAAAAAAUGUGGUGGUUAAUGUUCGUAGCCAUUCUUUGUGUGCAACACACAGCCGGUCUUCGAUAUAUUGAAGUCACGAACAAGAAUAACUUUCCAAUUUGGAUCGAAACUCUAACUAAUAACCAGGGACCUCCAUUGAGACCAGGAGUAACUCUUCUAGAACCUAGACAUAGUACGAAAUAUGAUAUCCAAGAUUCGGGGUGGGCAGGACGACUCUGGCCCAAAACUGGUUGUGAUGAUGGUGGUGCAAAUUGUGAAAUUGGCCAAUCAAUGCCACCCUGUCCACCGAAUGGUUGCCAUCCACCCGCUGAAACAAAAGUCGAAUUUUUCUUUCCAGCAACGAAUAGCAACCAGGAUUCAUUAAUGAUAUCAGUUUGGUAGGUCAAAUAUUUGAUUCAUCAUUCAAGUUAACUUUUGAAAAUUUUACUAAAAUCGAAAAAACAUGUCCAUCUUUUCAAGUCGAUGGUUUCUCUUUGGCCAGUGAAAUUACUCCACACGAAGAUGUAGGGUCGACCAUAUAAUGGGGGCCCCUGCACGCCAACCAAUUGCCACCUUCUUCUGUCCCAAUGUCCACGCAAUGAACGCAAUAGCUUGGGGGACUUAUCCGUGAAAGGUAGAAGAAACAAUGACGUCGCUUGUAUGUCAACAUGCAAAAGAUGGAAUUACCCUCCUCCAUAUGGCCAAGGAAAGAAUGAACAAGAAGGAGACCGUCGACUGUUGUGUUGCCCAGCAGGAGUUUCAGUCGAAGAGUGUUUUUUUUGAGUAAUCGGCUAUCGAAAAACCGCUCCGAAAUGGGGAUACUCAAAUCUUGGUCAAAAAACGCAUUUUCCAUGAAACAAAUGUUUUUUUCGAAUGGAGAAUGUUUUCAAAAAAAUGAAGAUAAAUUGUAGAAUUCAAAUCAAUUGUCUGUUUUCAAAUAUGUCUGCCCGUUCGUUCGAUAUCGGGACGAGUCAUGAAAAUUGGUCCAAAAUCGGGUCCAUAUCGUCCGAUUCUCAAUGUUUUCAAAAACCAAUUUGACAACAGCAGUGUUAUUGUUUUUGUAGCCAUAGGUGCUUCUACAAUUAUUUUCGAGUCACUACAAUUAAUUCUGGGCUUAAUGUGUACUAAUUUGGAGAAACUUAAUUGUUGGUCUGGUCAAACUGUACAACUUUGCAAAAGACAAUGAUACAGAUUUACAGGCAAUAACAUAUUAUUAACUAAACUUAAUAACAUAAU
This is an RNA transcript of Sitodiplosis mosellana (orange wheat blossom midge), 1289 nucleotides long. RefSeq lists it as uncharacterized. The transcript is spliced from 3 exons. Lineage: Eukaryota; Metazoa; Arthropoda; Insecta; Diptera; Cecidomyiidae. The record is from RefSeq and is a predicted model, not a curated record.